RNAcentral lists this ribosomal RNA (486 nucleotides) under uncultured bacterium. RNAcentral's name for it is "partial 16S ribosomal RNA". It matches the Rfam family "Bacterial small subunit ribosomal RNA", at positions 30 to 507 of the family's 1533-position model. The record is from RNAcentral.
AUUGAACGCUGGCGGCAUGCCUUACACAUGCAAGUCGAACGGCAGCACGGGUGCUUGCACCUGGUGGCGAGUGGCGAACGGGUGAGUAAUACAUCGGAACAUGUCCUGUAGUGGGGGAUAGCCCGGCGAAAGCCGGAUUAAUACCGCAUACGAUCCACGGAUGAAAGCGGGGGACCUUCGGGCCUCGCGCUAUAGGGUUGGCCGAUGGCUGAUUAGCUAGUUGGUGGGGUAAAGGCCUACCAAGGCGACGAUCAGUAGCUGGUCUGAGAGGACGACCAGCCACACUGGGACUGAGACACGGCCCAGACUCCUACGGGAGGCAGCAGUGGGGAAUUUUGGACAAUGGGCGAAAGCCUGAUCCAGCAAUGCCGCGUGUGUGAAGUAGGCCUUCGGGUUGUAAAGCACUUUUGUCCGGAAAGAAAUCCUUGACUCUAAUACAGUCGGGGGAUGACGGUACCGGAAGAAUAAGCACCGGCUAACUACGUG